RNAcentral lists this long non-coding RNA (613 nucleotides) under Homo sapiens (human). RNAcentral describes it as "HSALNT0325917". The record is from RNAcentral. Lineage: Eukaryota; Metazoa; Chordata; Mammalia; Primates; Hominidae.
ACUGCAGCCUACACCCUUCCCGGCCCUCGGUGCUUGUCUUUUCUUUGGCGUUCCUGCGCCCCCUGACCCGCGGUCCUGCAGUCCUGCUCCCGUGACGUGCCCUCCCUCCUUCCGUUCCCCGUUUCCCCUUCACUACCCAGGGCUGGAGCCUGAACCUGGCGGGGCCCCCCGUGAAUGGAAGAGCCUGGGCCACGCGAAGGUGGACCCCACUCAGCCUCCAGCCGUGCCCUCCACGCCCCAGACACCGCCGUCUUCGGAGGCGACUCCGCGGUCGUGUGGACGGGGUCCCAUUUGGACUCCGGGGUCUGCAGGAUCGGCAGGAAGGACUUUGCUCUCUGCUGCUGGGCGGGGAGGGGUACGCUAUCUGCCGGGACUCCCUAACCCUUUAGAAGGAGCAAGUGCGUCCAAAUGGUUUGAAAGUGGACCUUUAUUGUUUUCCAGGAGUAAGAAGAUAGAACAGUUGACCAGUUUUGUUUGUAAAACUUCUUUCCUUGCCUCGGACUUGUGCUAUAAAGUGACCAGGGCGUAGUGAGUACAGUUAGUACCGCACACGUUAGCACGCUCGACCUUAACGAUCUUUUUAUAGAGACAAUAAACCUGCAGCGUUUCAUGC